CUGCGAAUGGCUCAUUAUAUAAGUUAUCGUUUAUUUGAUAGUACCUUACUACUUGGAUAACCGUGGUAAUUCUAGAGCUAAUACAUGCUAAAAAUCCCGACUCCGGAAGGGAUGUGUUUAUUAGAUUAAAAGCCAAUGCCCCCCGGGGCUCCCUGGUGAUUCAUGAUAACCCCUCGAAUCGCACGGCCUUGCGCCGGCGAUGGUUCAUUCAAAUUUCUUCCCUAUCAACUUUCGAUGUUUGGGUAUUGGCCAAACAUGGUUGCAACGGGUAACGGAGGGUUAGGGCUCGACCCCGGAGAAGGAGCCUGAGAAACGGCUACUACAUCCAAGGAAGGCAGCAGGCGCGCAAAUUACCCAAUCCCGAUCCGGGGAGGUAGUGACAAUAAAUACUGAUACAGGGCUCUUUCGGGUCUUGUAAUUGGAAUGAGUACAAUUUAAAUCCCUUAACGAGGAACAAUUGGAGGGCAAGUCUGGUGCCAGCAGCCGCGGUAAUUCCAGCUCCAAUAGCGUAUAUUAAAGUUGUUGUGGUUAAAAAGCUCGUAGUUGAACCUUGGGCCUGGCUGGCCGGUCCGCCUCACCGCGUGCACUGGUCCGGCCGGGCCUUUCCCCCUGCGGAACCCCAUGCCCUUCGCUGGGCGUGGCGGGGAGGCAGGACGUUUACUUUGAAAAAAUUAGAGUGCUCCAGGCAGGCCUAUGCUCGGAUACAUUAGCAUGGAAUAAUGGAAUAGGACGCGCGGUUCUAUUUCGUUGGUUUCUAGGACCGCCGUAAUGAUUAAUAGGGACAGUCGGGGGCAUCAGUAUUCAAUUGUCAGAGGUGAAAUUCUUGGAUUUAUUGAAGACUAACUACUGCGAAAGCAUUUGCCAAGGAUGUUUUCAUUAAUCAGGAACGAAAGUUAGGGGAUCGAAGACGAUCAGAUACCGUCGUAGUCUUAACCAUAAACUAUGCCGACUAGGGAUCGGACGAUGUUAUUUCUUGACGCGUUCGGCACCUUGCGAGAAAUCAAAGUGCUUGGGCUCCAGGGGGAGUAUGGUCGCAAGGCUGAAACUUAAAGAAAUUGACGGAAGGGCACCACCAGGGGUGGAGCCUGCGGCUUAAUUUGACUCAACACGGGGAAACUUACCAGGUCCAGACACGAUGAGGAUUGACAGAUUGAGAGCUCUUUCUUGAUUUUGUGGGUGGUGGUGCAUGGCCGUUCUUAGUUGGUGGAGUGAUUUGUCUGCUUAAUUGCGAUAACGAACGAGACCUUAACCUGCUAAAUAGCCCGAGCCGCUCAGGCGGCGCGCCGGC
Molecule: ribosomal RNA, 1288 nt
Filed under: Cordyceps sp. BCC28795
Lineage: Eukaryota; Fungi; Ascomycota; Sordariomycetes; Hypocreales; Cordycipitaceae
Description: SSU rRNA
Rfam family: Eukaryotic small subunit ribosomal RNA
Source: RNAcentral